UGAGCAACCUGCCCCUGACUCUGGGAUAACCCCGGGAAACCGGAGCUAAUACCGGAUACGACACGCGAAGGCAUCUUCUGCGUGUAGAAAGAUUUAUCGGUCAGGGAUGGGCUCGCGGCCUAUCAGCUUGUUGGUGGGGUAACGCCCACCAAGGCGACGACGGGUAGCCGGCCUGAGAGGGCGACCGGCCACACUGGGACUGAGACACGGCCCAGACUCCGUACGGGAGGCA
This 232-nucleotide ribosomal RNA is filed under the name uncultured bacterium. RNAcentral describes it as "partial 16S ribosomal RNA". It matches the Rfam family "Bacterial small subunit ribosomal RNA", at positions 118 to 350 of the family's 1533-position model. The record is from RNAcentral.